AUUGAACGCUGGCGGCAUGCCUUACACAUGCAAGUCGAACGGUAACGGGCCUUCGGGUGCCGACGAGUGGCGAACGGGUGAGUAAUGCAUCGGAACGUACCUUUCAGUGGGGGAUAACGUAGCGAAAGUUACGCUAAUACCGCAUAUUCUGUGAGCAGGAAAGCAGGGGAUCGCAAGACCUUGCGCUGAUUGAGCGGCCGAUGUCAGAUUAGCUAGUUGGUGAGGUAAAGGCUCACCAAGGCGACGAUCUGUAGCGGGUCUGAGAGGAUGAUCCGCCACACUGGAACUGAGACACGGUCCAGACUCCUACGGGAGGCAGCAGUGGGGAAUUUUGGACAAUGGGGGCAACCCUGAUCCAGCCAUGCCGCGUGAGUGAAGAAGGCC
This 384-nucleotide ribosomal RNA is filed under the name uncultured bacterium. Its description in RNAcentral is "bacterial SSU rRNA". It matches the Rfam family "Bacterial small subunit ribosomal RNA", at positions 30 to 416 of the family's 1533-position model. The record is from RNAcentral.